Molecule: unclassified non-coding RNA, 429 nt
Filed under: uncultured Rhodotorula
Lineage: Eukaryota; Fungi; Basidiomycota
Description: sequence contains ITS2
Rfam family: 5.8S ribosomal RNA (bases 1-154)
Source: RNAcentral
AACUUUUGGCAAUGGAUCACUUGGCUCCCGCAUCGAUGAAGAACGCAGCGAAAUGCGAUACGUAAUGUGAAUUGCAGAAUUCAGUGAAUCAUCGAAUCUUUGAACGCACCUUGCACUCUUUGGUAUUCCGAAGAGUAUGUCUGUUUGAGUGUCGUGAAAUUCUCAACCCCCCUAUUUUGUAAUGAAAUAGGUUUUGUGGGCUUGCAUUAUGGCUGCCUGUCGGCUCGUUGCGAGUCGGCUCAGCUCAAAUACACGAGCAACCCAGUUGAAACAGCGACGGCUUGACUCGGCGUAAUAACAUAUUUCGCUGAGGACGUCCACUGUACGUGUCAAGCAGUGGAGGCUACUAAUACGUAUUCAUUUUAAACUUUAGACCUCAAAUCAGAUAGGACUACCCGCUGAACUUAAGCAUAUCAAUAAGCGGAGGCU